CAAACCAGGCACAUCACCUUAACUGUGUACAGGCAUCGUUUCGCCUCUGAAGAUGACAAUACCUCAGUACAAGACSUAAAAGCAAUAAUGGCCUACACUGUUGGAGGCUGUCUCAUCUUGUUCCUUCUGCUCUUCCUUCUCUACUGCAAGUGGCAUUUUGGURCAAUUCUUCUGAAGACAUCUAGAGUUAUAAGGCAGCAAGAGUCUCUCAGUCAUGAUGAGUCCYACAUGGAGAACAAGC
This 241-nucleotide long non-coding RNA is filed under the name Dromaius novaehollandiae (emu). Its description in RNAcentral is "lncRNA (ENSDNVG00000001986.1)". Lineage: Eukaryota; Metazoa; Chordata; Aves; Casuariiformes; Dromaiidae. The record is from RNAcentral.